This 480-nucleotide ribosomal RNA is filed under the name uncultured bacterium. Its description in RNAcentral is "partial 16S ribosomal RNA". It matches the Rfam family "Bacterial small subunit ribosomal RNA", at positions 28 to 507 of the family's 1533-position model. The record is from RNAcentral.
GAUGAACGCUGGCGGCGUGCUUAACACAUGCAAGUCGAACGGAACUACUCCAAUGAGAGUCUUCGGAAAGGAUUUGGUUUAGUUUAGUGGCGGACGGGCGAGUAACGCGUGGGUAACCUGCCCUAUACAGGGGGAUAACAGUUGGAAACGACUGUUAAUACCGCAUAAGCGCACAGGAGCGCAUGCUCCGGUGUGAAAAACUCCGGUGGUAUAGGAUGGACCCGCGUCUGAUUAGCUGGUUGGCGGGGUAACGGCCCACCAAGGCGACGAUCAGUAGCCGGCCUGAGAGGGUGAACGGCCACAUUGGGACUGAGACACGGCCCAAACUCCUACGGGAGGCAGCAGUGGGGAAUAUUGCACAAUGGGGGAAACCCUGAUGCAGCGACGCCGCGUGAGCGAAGAAGUAUCUCGGUAUGUAAAGCUCUAUCAGCAGGGAAGAAAAUGACGGUACCUGACGAAGAAGCCCCGGCUAACUACGUG